Non-coding RNA from Podarcis lilfordi (Lilford's wall lizard), 85 nucleotides. Lineage: Eukaryota; Metazoa; Chordata; Lepidosauria; Squamata; Lacertidae. The record is from the annotation of a GenBank genome assembly.
GCUGAGAUAGCUCAGUCAGUAGAGCAUGAGACUCUUAAUCUCAGGGUCAUGGGUCUCAAGUCAGGCAAAAGAUCCAUGUAUUGCA